CCAAGAACCUGCAAUCGUGUGCCUACAAGGUGUCAGAGCCCCGCAAGGGGUGAUGGCGUGCCUUUUGCUUAAUGAGUCUGCGAGUUAUUGUUAGUGGCGAGCCUAAGUCCUUCUGGGACGGAGGCGCAGCGAAAGCGAGUCUGAAAACGGCGCUUAGUCACUGGCAGUAGACCCGAAGCCGAGGUGAUCUACCCAUGGCCAGGUUGAAGCGUCAGUAACAUGACGUGAAGGACCGAACUGGUGCCUCUUGAGAAAGGCUCGGAUGAGCUGUGGGUAGGAGCGAAAGACUAAUCAAACCCGGUGAUAGCUGGUUCUCCCCGAAAUAGCUUGAGGGCUAGCCUCGUGUGCUGAUCGUUGGAGGUAGAGCACUGGAUGAACUAGAGCCCAUACCCGGGUAUCGAAUUCAAUCAAACUCCGAAUGCCAACGAGAGAAACACGGGAGUCAGUGCGUGAGGGAUAAGCUUCACGCGCGAGAGGCAAACAUGCCAGACCAGCAGCUAAGGUGCCUAAACGAUGCUUAGUGGAAAGGAUGUGGAGAUACUUAGACAAUGAGGAUGUUGGCUUAGAGGCAGCCACCAUUUAAACAGUGCGUAAUAGCUGACUCAUCGAGUGUUUCCGCGCCGAAAAUGAUUGGCGAUAAGUGUCGUACCGAAGCUCUGGACGGUGCCUGGAUUCGUCCGGGCAUUGUGGUAGGGGAGCGUUGUAGCGGCCUUGAAGCGGGAGCGAAAGCAACCGUGGAGCUUCUACAAGUGAGAAUGCAGACAUGAGUAGCGAAAAGACUGGUUGAAUUCCAGUCCGCCGUAAACCCAAGGUUUCCUGGGGAAGGUUCGUCCUCCCAGGGUUAGUCGGGACCUAAGUCGAGGCCGAAGGGCGUAGACGAUGGACAGCAGGUUUAAUAUUCCUGCACCGCCGACAUUUAAAUUUGAGGGACGUGUGUGCGGAGAAAGGCUGGGCGUUGAUUGUCCCAGUCCCUGAACGCAAGUUUGGGGGACGUGGAGGCCUCGGCCAAAGCGGAUCUUUUAAAGCAUGCACCGAGAAAAACUCAAAGGAAUACUAAGGCGCCCGUACCGGAAACCGACACAGGUGGGUGGGCAUGAAUGUGCCAAGGCGCGUGAGUGAAACCUCGUUAAGGAACUCUGCAAUCUAGCCCCGUAACUUCGGAAGAAGGGGUGCCCACUUUUAGUGGGUCGCAGUGAAAUGGGUGUACCGACUGUUUAUCAAAAACACAGCACUCUGCUAAGUCGUAAGACAACGUAUAGGGUGUGACACGUGACCAAUGCGGAAAGAUUACGGUAAGUGGUUAGCGCAAGCGAAGCUACGAGCCCAAGUCCCCGUGAAUGUCGGCCGUAACUAUAACGGUCCUAAGGUAGCGAAAUUCCUUGUCGGGUAAGUUCCGACCUGCACGAAUCGUGUAACGAGUGCACCGCUGUCUCAACGAGGAGCUCAGCGAAGUUGUAAUGGCGGUGAAGAUGCCGCCUACCCGCAGCAGGACGGAAAGACCCUAUGCACCUUUACUGUACGCUGUUACUGUGUUUUCGAUUUUCAUGCUUAGCGUAAGUGGGAGACUUUGAAGCCAUUCUUUCGGGGAUGGCCGAGUCGUCAAUGAAACACCACCCUUGGAAAUUGGAAACUCUAACCCUCGCCCAUCAACUGGGGAGGGGACACUGGCAGCCGGUCAGUUUUACUGGGGCGGUAUCC
Molecule: ribosomal RNA, 1698 nt
Filed under: metagenome
Description: bacterial LSU rRNA
Rfam family: Bacterial large subunit ribosomal RNA
Source: RNAcentral